Molecule: RNA transcript, 619 nt
Organism: Glycine soja
Lineage: Eukaryota; Viridiplantae; Streptophyta; Magnoliopsida; Fabales; Fabaceae
Gene name: calcium-dependent protein kinase 29-like
Exons: 1
Source: RefSeq, a predicted model, not a curated record
ACCUUCUUCAUAAGUUAAGAAAAACUUCUAUAAAAAAAUUGGUAUAGAGCAUCUGAACAAUUUUGUUUCAACUUUGUACGACCAUUGAUCUCAUGUUCAUUUAUUUGGCUGAUUGUUUUGCUAGUCUCACCUUUGAGACCAUUUAUCUAGGGAAACCUUACAUUAAAAUAAAGCAGAUGUACGAGAUGAAGGAAGAGCUGGGAAGAGGCAAAUUUGGGGUGACUAAUCUGUGUGUAGAGAAAGCCACAGGACGAGCGUAUGCAUGCAAAUCCAUAGCAAAGAAGAAGCCGCAAAAAGUGGAGGAUGUUAGAAGAGAGGUCAUGAUUCUGCAGCAUCUUUCAGAGCAGCAUAACAUAGUGGAAUUCAAGGGAGCUUAUGAGGACGGGAAGAACAUGCACCUUGUCAUGGAGCUAUGCAGUGGGGAGGGAACUACUCGGAGCCUGAAGCCACCACAAUCAUCAGACAGAUUGUGAAUGUGGUUCACGUCUGCCAUUUCAUGGGUGUGAUGCAUCGAGACCUCAAGCCGGAGAAUUUCUUGUUCGCCACCAAGUCGAGUGUUAUGAAUCAGCCCAAGGUGGAGUAAUUCAGCACAGAGCAAUCCAACACCGAAGAAGAAACA